RNAcentral lists this ribosomal RNA (159 nucleotides) under uncultured bacterium. RNAcentral describes it as "partial 16S ribosomal RNA". It matches the Rfam family "Bacterial small subunit ribosomal RNA", at positions 355 to 509 of the family's 1533-position model. The record is from RNAcentral.
UGAGGAAUAUUGGUCAAUGGGCGCGAGCCUGAACCAGCCAAGUCGCGUGAGGGAGGACGGCCCUACGGGUUAGUAAACCUCUUUUGCCGGGGAGCAACGGGCGUCACGUGUGGCGCCACUGAGAGUACCCGGAGAAAAAGCAUCGGCUAACUCCGUGCC